This 323-nucleotide unclassified non-coding RNA is filed under the name soil metagenome. RNAcentral's name for it is "partial contains 5.8S ribosomal RNA, internal transcribed spacer 2, and large subunit ribosomal RNA". The stretch from base 1 to 120 matches the Rfam family "5.8S ribosomal RNA", at positions 35 to 154 of the family's 154-position model. The record is from RNAcentral.
GAUGAAGAACGCAGCGAAAUGCGAUAAGUAGUGUGAAUUGCAGAAUUCCGUGAAUCAUCGAAUCUUUGAACGCACAUUGCGCCUUCUGGUAUUCCGGAAGGCAUGCCUGUUCGAGCGUCAUUUCAACCCUCAAGCUCUGCUUGGUGUUGGGCCCUGCCCGCUGCGGCCGGCCCUAAAGACAGUGGCGGUGCCGCCUGGCCCUGAGCGUAGUACAUCUCUCGCUCCAGUGCCCGGUGGUAGCCUGCCAGAACCCCAACUCUCGUGGUUGACCUCGGAUCAGGUAGGGAUACCCGCUGAACUUAAGCAUAUCAAUAAGCGGAGGA